AGUCAAUGUACGACCACCUGUGGCCGACCUACACGAAGAUCCCUGUUGACAAUAGAGAGCGAUGAUUUUCAGAAGUGGGUGUUGAAAUUCAUAUGAGAUACAAAACAUAAUCUCGUGAUUUGGAAGAUCUAUGACCACCGGGCAACUAAACGACUUCAGCAAAUGAUGAGCGACAUUCGUCAAGGGCGCGACCAUCUAACGACCUGGAUCUGUCCAUCUAUCAAGAAGGAACUAGAGACCCAUUUUAGAACUGAUGGGGGGUUCAAGCGUCGCCAUCUGACGAACGUCGCUAACAGAGCUUCGUCAAGGUCGUCAAAGUAUACAGGUAGGUCAGCGACUUUCAUAAAGACAAAGAGCAGGUUGGUAAGUACUUCACAUGUUUGUUAAUUAUUACUUGAAUUAGUUGUUUCUUGACUUAUUUACUUAGUUGAUUUCGAUAUGUGCAGUUUAAGUCGUUCGAUUAUGAGGCGACACUGGCGGAACCUUCAAGUAUACCCAUACUUUGAAGGCCAACAAGAAGAAAUUUGCUGAUGAGCGGUCUGUGACUCAUUAUGAGGUCUACACAUAUAGAUUGGAGGCCCCAACCCAGCAACAUCAAUCGCCUAGUGAAAACGACGACCCCGAUAUCUCAGUGGUAGAUCCUGAUAGGGUUUGGCGCGAGACCGCCUCUGAGCCCCACAAGAAUUGCGUCUUCGAGUUGGGGUCGUUAUUUGCUAAUGGUCUCCGCACCUCUGCAUUGGCGGCUUCAUCUGCGUCUGCCUCUGCCACCAGCCCUGUCGAUCCCGCGGAAGUUGUCGACUUGAGGGAGGAGGUGUAGAAGAUCACACAGGAGGUUCACCAACAAGCUCAACAGUCUAAGCAGAGGUACAACGAGCUUCUUGCACG
Molecule: non-coding RNA, 885 nt
Organism: Arachis ipaensis
Lineage: Eukaryota; Viridiplantae; Streptophyta; Magnoliopsida; Fabales; Fabaceae
Source: RefSeq, a predicted model, not a curated record